AGAGUUUGAUCAUGGCUCAGGACGAACGCUGGCGGCGUGCUUAACACAUGCAAGUGGAGCGACGAACCAGGGCUUGCCCUGGGGCAGAGCCGCGAACGGGUGAGUAACACGUGGGUUACCUGCCUCGAUGACCGGGACAACCCGAGGAAACUCGGGCUAAUACCGGAUGUGCCCGCAAGGGGAAAGGAAGCUUCGGCCUCCGCAUCGAGAUGGGCCCGCGGCCCAUUAGCUUGUUGGUGAGGUAACGGCUCACCAAGGCUUCGAUGGGUAGCUGGUCUGAGAGGACGAUCAGCCACACUGGGACUGAGACACGGCCCAGACUCCUACGGGAGGCAGCAGUGGGGAAUCUUGCGCAAUGCGCGAAAGCGUGACGCAGCAACGCCGCGUGGGGGAAGAAGGCUUUCGGGUUGUAAACCCCUUUCAGUUGGGACGAAGCUUCGGCGGUGAAUAGCCGACCGGAGUGACGGUACCUUCACAAGAAGCACCGGCUAACUACGUGCCAGCAGCCGCGGUAAUACGUAGGGUGCAAGCGUUGUCCGGAAUUAUUGGGCGUAAAGAGCGUGUAGGCGGCCCCAUUAGUCCGCUGUGAAAGUCCAGGGCUCAACCCUGGAAUGCCGGUGGAUACUGUGGGGCUAGAGUCCGGAAGGGGCGAGUGGAAUUCCUGGUGUAGCGGUGAAAUGCGCAGAUAUCAGGAGGAACACCAAUGGCGAAGGCAGCUCGCUGGGACGUGACUGACGCUGAGACGCGAAAGCGUGGGGAGCAAACAGGAUUAGAUACCCUAGUAGUCC
This 788-nucleotide ribosomal RNA is filed under the name uncultured bacterium. RNAcentral's name for it is "bacterial SSU rRNA". It matches the Rfam family "Bacterial small subunit ribosomal RNA", at positions 8 to 796 of the family's 1533-position model. The record is from RNAcentral.